This 247-nucleotide ribosomal RNA is filed under the name uncultured bacterium. RNAcentral's name for it is "partial 16S ribosomal RNA". It matches the Rfam family "Bacterial small subunit ribosomal RNA", at positions 523 to 769 of the family's 1533-position model. The record is from RNAcentral.
AAACGUAGGGUGCAAGCGUUGUCCGGAAUUACUGGGUGUAAAGGGAGCGCAGGCGGAUUGGUAAGUUGGAAGUGAAAACUAUGGGCUCAACCCAUAAAUUGCUUUCAAAACUACCAGUCUUGAGUGGUGUAGAGGUAGGCGGAAUUCCCGGUGUAGCGGUGGAAUGCGUAGAUAUCGGGAGGAACACCAGUGGCGAAGGCGGCCUACUGGGCACUAACUGACGCUGAGGCUCGAAAGCAUGGGUAGC